CCUACGGGAGGCAGCAGUGGGGAAUAUUGCACAAUGGGCGCAAGCCUGAUGCAGCCAUGCCGCGUGUAUGAAGAAGGCCUUCGGGUUGUAAAGUACUUUCAGCGGGGAGGAAGGGAGUAAAGUUAAUACCUUUGCUCAUUGACGUUACCCGCAGAAGAAGCACCGGCUAACUCCGUGCCAGCAGCUGCGGUAAUACGGAGGGUGCAAGCGUUAAUCGGAAUUACUGGGCGUAAAGCGCACGCAGGCGGUUUGUUAAGUCAGAUGUGAAAUCCCCGGGCUCAACCUGGGAACUGCAUCUGAUACUGGCAAGCUUGAGUCUCGUAGAGGGGGGUUAGAAUUCCAGGUGUAGCGGUGAAAUGCGUAGAGAUCUGGAGGAAUACCGGUGGCGAAGGCGGCCCCCUGGACGAAGACUGACGCUCAGGUGCGAAAGCGUGGGGAGCAAACAGGAUUAGAUACCCUGGUAGUCCACGCCGUAAACGAUGUCGACUUGGAGGUUGUGCCCUUGAGGCGUGGCUUCCGGAGCUAACGCGUUAAGUCGACCGCCUGGGGAGGACGGCGCGAGUAACGUACGAANAGAGUGACGCGUGAGACGUGCGACGGACGACGACGAGGGAGGAGG
This 619-nucleotide ribosomal RNA is filed under the name uncultured bacterium. Its description in RNAcentral is "bacterial SSU rRNA". The stretch from base 1 to 544 matches the Rfam family "Bacterial small subunit ribosomal RNA", at positions 338 to 873 of the family's 1533-position model. The record is from RNAcentral.